CAGUCGUACCUUCGGGUAAUCAGCCUUUCGGGUGCGAUUCUGUGGAGUUUGAGGAGCUUAACACCUUCAUGCUUUUGCGUAUUCGUGCCCUUGGGUGUACUUGCCCGUGUGGUUGGUUAACAUCAAUUUCGGGCACCAUAAAAUGAUUGGAGGAAUGUAGCUUUGGUCUCGUAUCGAAGUGUUAUAGACUCGUGGUAGAUGUGAUGA
RNAcentral lists this ribosomal RNA (207 nucleotides) under Rhizophagus irregularis. The record is from RNAcentral. Lineage: Eukaryota; Fungi; Glomeromycota; Glomeromycetes; Glomerales; Glomeraceae.